GACGAACGCUGGCGGCGUGCUUAACACAUGCAAGUCGAACGGAAAGGCCUCUUUCGGGGGGUACUCGAGUGGCGAACGGGUGAGUAACACGUGAGUAACCUGCCCUUGACUUUGGGAUAACUUCAGGAAACUGGGGCUAAUACCGGAUAGGAGCUCCUGCUGCAUGGUGGGGGUUGGAAAGUUUCGGCGGUUGGGGGUGGACUCGCGGCUUAUCAGCUUGUUGGUGGGGUAGUGGCUUACCAAGGCUUUGACGGGUAGCCGGCCUGAGAGGGUGACCGGCCACAUUGGGACUGAGAUACGGCCCAGACUCCGACGGGAGGCAGCAGUGGGGAAUAUUGCACAAUGGGUGGAAGCCUGAUGCAGAAACGCCGUGGGCGGGAUGACGGCCUUAGGGUUGAAAACCGCUUUCGCUCAUGACGAAGCUUUGUGUGACGGUAGUGGGUAAAGAAGCACCGGCUAACUACGUG
RNAcentral lists this ribosomal RNA (467 nucleotides) under uncultured bacterium. RNAcentral's name for it is "partial 16S ribosomal RNA". It matches the Rfam family "Bacterial small subunit ribosomal RNA", at positions 28 to 507 of the family's 1533-position model. The record is from RNAcentral.